UGGGGAAUUUUGGACAAUGGGCGCAAGCCUGAUCCAGCCAUGCCGCGUGCGGGAAGAAGGCCUUCGGGCUGUAAACCGCUUUUGUCAGGGAAGAAAUCUUCUGAGUUAAUACCUCGGGAGGAUGACGGUACCUGAAGAAUAAGCACCGGCUAACUACGUGCCAGCAGCCGCGGUAAUACGUAGGGUGCAAGCGUUAAUCGGAAUUACUGGGCGUAAAGCGUGCGCAGGCGGUUUUGUAAGACAGAGGUGAAAUCCCCGGGCUCAACCUGGGAACUGCCUUUGUGACUGCAAGGCUUGAGUGCGGCAGAGGGGGAUGGAAUUCCGCGUGUAGCAGUGAAAUGCGUAGAUAUGCGGAGGAACACCGAUGGCGAAGGCAAUCCCCUGGGCCUGCACUGACGCUCAUGCACGAAAGCGUGGGGAGCAAACAGGAUUAGAUACCCUGGUAGUCCACGCCCUAAAACGAUGUCAACUGGUUGUUGGGAAGGUUCCUUCUCAGUAACGUAGCUAACGCGUGAAGUUGACCGCCUGGGGAGUACGGCCGCAAGGUUG
RNAcentral lists this ribosomal RNA (549 nucleotides) under uncultured bacterium. RNAcentral describes it as "partial 16S ribosomal RNA". It matches the Rfam family "Bacterial small subunit ribosomal RNA", at positions 355 to 896 of the family's 1533-position model. The record is from RNAcentral.